Molecule: transfer RNA, 71 nt
Filed under: Marmota monax (woodchuck)
Lineage: Eukaryota; Metazoa; Chordata; Mammalia; Rodentia; Sciuridae
Description: tRNA.Ala
Source: RNAcentral
GGGGUUGUGGCUCAAGUGGUAGAGUGCUCACUUAGCACCUGUGAGGCAUGAGUUCAAUCCUCAGCACCUCA